AGCUGCCAUGUACUAGGCCAUGUGGCAAGGGCCUGGUUGGGGACCUCCAGGAGCUGAGAGCAUCCUCUGGACAACAUGGAAAAAGAAAAUGGUGACCUCAGCCCUAUAGGUAGAAGGAAUUGAAUCCUGUCAACAAUGAUCCUCAUCACUCACUACAGAUGUUACUUUAAGACAUUCUGGAGCAGCGUCAUGUGCAGGAGAAAAUAGUAUCAUCUCAGCCUUCUAUGAAAUCAAGGCAAUAUGUGGGUAGCACCUCCGCCCAUCUCUCUCUUGCUCCUGGUCUCAUCGUGUGAUGGGCCUCGUCCUGCCUCACUUUCUGCCACGACUAAGAGCUCCCUGAGGCCUCUCCAGAAGCAGAUAUCACUAUGCUUCCUACACAGCCUGCAGAACCGAACAAUGAGGAAGUGAGUGCUUUUGUAAUUCCUGAACGACUGUGUCUUACAUUUAUUAAGUUCUCUUGCCUGCCACCAUGUAAGAUAUGCCUUUACUCUUCCACCUUCCACCAUGAUUGUGAGGCCUCCCCAGCCAUGUGAAACUGCCUUUGAGCUUAUACUGAAUUAUACCACCAGCUUUCCUAGGUCUUGAAGCUUACAGACAGCAGAUCAUGGGACUUCUCAGGCACCAUAGUCAAUCAUAGAUAAAUGAUCAAAUGAUUCGGAACUUGAAAAGUGAUAGCUUUAUGCAUUCUCCUUAAGAAGAAACCUGUGCCCUGAUCCUGCCUACUCACCCAAAGGCACUGUGAGAUAGCGUCAAAGGAACAGCUAGUAAGAGACGCAGAGCCAGAAAUCAGGGAAGUAAAAUACACUUGACAUCUACGUUCAGAAAGAAAUUUUAGGAGGCAGAAGCAAAUGGAUCAGAAGCUGCUUACCAAAGAAACCAUUGGUGGAGAAAGUUAUGUGACCAACUUGUCUGAGUCUAGGGAGAUGGAACGCUCACACACAAGUUUCAUGAAGCGGAUUUGAUACUUACAGAUAGGCAGCAAGGACCAACAGAAGCUGAUGAUCUAUGGUGAACUUUUUCCCAAGGCUCCAGAAAGCUGCCUAGAGUAGAUGGAGUCUUGUCUGUGUGUGCCCCACUGGUCCUGCAGUUGAAGGAUCCGGUAAAGCAGCCUGCCCUGGGUUUUAUACUCCAGAGGAACGUGAUUUGCUGGACUAAAGCAUUGAAGUGCAUCCUCUUUCUGGGGGGCACUGGAACAGAGCCUGGUCUGUUCUAGCCAGUCCCUUUCUAUCUAAGGAUGUUGCAUUCCCAGUACAUUCUACAGUUAUUCUUGAGAACUAUAAUCAAAUAAGCAGGGAGAACUGGAGGCUCAUUGUGGAACCCUCAAGGAGCAUGUGGUCUUCAUCCCUCAGUUUAUAAAUGGCCAAGGAGAGUAAUGCAACAAAAACUUCUCAGAGGUAAGAGCCAGAGUUCCCAAAGAACCGUGGACAAAGCGUUCUGUCUAGUGGGCAGAAUUCAUCCAACGAAGGUCUCCUAACUACAGAGGGUCACAUCUGGAUCUGAUGGCACCUACAGAACUUGGACUCUGAGUGACAAUCAGUGACCAGGAAAUUGGAACCCAGGUUUUCCCAACCUACAUCUACAAGAUGGAAUGGGUCUGAUUCGCAGGUUUUCAGUGAAAGAAGCCAACCUUAAUCAGGCUGUGAUAUGAUGAGGAAAUAAAAUUUGCUGUGCUAAUC
This 1676-nucleotide long non-coding RNA is filed under the name Pongo abelii (Sumatran orangutan). Its description in RNAcentral is "lincRNA". Lineage: Eukaryota; Metazoa; Chordata; Mammalia; Primates; Hominidae. The record is from RNAcentral.